This 279-nucleotide unclassified non-coding RNA is filed under the name plant metagenome. RNAcentral describes it as "partial contains small subunit ribosomal RNA, internal transcribed spacer 1, and 5.8S ribosomal RNA". The record is from RNAcentral.
GCUCCGUAGGUGAACCUGCGGAGGGAUCAUUACAGAGUUCUUGCCCUCGCGGGUAGAUCUCCCACCCUGUGUUAUUUCUACCUUUGUUCCUUUGGCGGGCAGCCCCCGGCUACCGCCCCCGGCUGGUAGGCGCCGGCCAAGGUACCCCAAACCCUAACCGUCAGUUUCUUUUUAUUACUAUACAAUAUUAAAAACUUUCAAAAAGGGAUCUCUUGGUUCGGCCAUAGAUGAAAAACACAUCAUAACGAAAGAGCCCACGUCUGAACUCCCGUCACACAA